Molecule: unclassified non-coding RNA, 344 nt
Filed under: soil metagenome
Description: partial contains 5.8S ribosomal RNA, internal transcribed spacer 2, and large subunit ribosomal RNA
Rfam family: 5.8S ribosomal RNA (bases 1-121)
Source: RNAcentral
GAUGAAGAACGUAGCGAAAUGCGAUAAGUAAUGCGAAUUGCAGAAUUUCCGUGAGUCAUCGAAUCUUUGAACGCACAUUGCGCCCGCCAGCAUUCUGGCGGGCAUGCCUGUUCGAGCGUCAUUUCAACCCUCGACCUCCCCUUGGGGAGGUCGGCGUUGGGGACCGGCAGCACACCGCCGGCCCUGAAAUGGAGUGGCGGCCCGUCUGCGGCGACCUCUGCGUAGUAAUACAGCUCGCACCGGAACCCCGACGCGGCCACGCCGUAAAACACCCAACUUCUGAACGUUGACCUCGAAUCAGGUAGGACUACCCGCUGAACUUAAGCAUAUCAAUAAGCGGAGGA